Molecule: ribosomal RNA, 119 nt
Filed under: Helianthus annuus (common sunflower)
Lineage: Eukaryota; Viridiplantae; Streptophyta; Magnoliopsida; Asterales; Asteraceae
Source: RNAcentral
GGUUGCGAUCAUACCAGCACUAAUGCACCGGAUCCCAUCAGAACUCCGUAGUUAAGCGUGCUUGGGUGAGAGUAGUACUAGGAUGGGUGACCCCCUGGGAAGUCCUCGUGUUGCAACCC